RNAcentral lists this long non-coding RNA (595 nucleotides) under Citrus x clementina. RNAcentral describes it as "Citrus clementina (C. clementina) long non-coding RNA (CCLE_LNC004302)". The record is from RNAcentral. Lineage: Eukaryota; Viridiplantae; Streptophyta; Magnoliopsida; Sapindales; Rutaceae.
UUUAAGUUAUUAAAUCUAAGUAUAAAAGCAAAAAAAAGGAAAGAAAAUAAACCUUAAAACAAAUUGCAACCGCAGCAGCCCCACUUCUCCUCUUCUCUCACCUUCUUCAAUCUUCACGCCACAAAGCCCAAAUUCGUCAUCAUCAUCCUCAAUAUUCAAUUCAUCAUGCCGUUGUUCGUCUUCAUCAAUUCAUCAUGCCGUUGUUCGUCUUCAUCAAUUCAUCGCGCCGCCGCUCGUCUUCAUCAAUUCGUUGCAUCGCCGUCCAUGAUCCACCAUCGUCUUCAUCGCCUCACCAUUCAUCUUGAUUACAUAAUUAACAUACAUGCUUCUUGGGAAUUAACAGUGCUCUGAGGUGAUAUUAACAUAUGUGGGUCAGCUUUUAUCUCUAAAUCAUAAUUCAUUUCAAUUCAUUUAUCUUCAAGUUGACUCGAUUGUAAGGAAUCUAUAUUCAUCGGUGCUUGCGAUUUGAGCUCCUUUUGGAAUUUUCAUAUCCUGAAAGAGGUUUGUGUUUUUCAGUUCAUUCAGUUAUUCGAGUUUUAAACCCAGCAUCCGGAAAUCCAGAUUUCUCCGGGUUGAACCCGCACUGGACCCGGAU